AACCUCUCAGGUACUAGGAAGCAGCGGAUUCAACUGAAGCUCUGCAAUCUUCUCCGCAGAGUUAUAAAUGUAAACUUUAUAUUUCUGUCAUUUAAUUUUGGAUGUAUAAAUUAUUCUAUUAUCAGAAUAUUAUUGAACUCCGCAGUUAUAGGAUCGUGUAUUUCCAAUUGGGCCUUGCCGUAUGCGUUGUUUUAUAAACGGUUGGUUGUAUUAUUAGACACAGGAGAAUCAGUAUGCCCAUAUUAUGAACGUGAUUGAUAAUGACUAGGCCCAAACUAAAUUUUAUUGGAGAUAAUUAAAAUUGGGCCGGGUUGUAUAAUAUUUAUUUACAUUUAUAUCUUAACUUGUAUGGGCUUACUGUUUCUAUUAAAUGGUAUGGAAUGUAUAGUUGAGUAAUUAGGCUAACUACGGGCCUCGGGGGCCUUAUGCUUACCUGGGCCCUAGUGCCGGUCCGGCCCACGGAAACGGGUCGUGACA
RNAcentral lists this long non-coding RNA (477 nucleotides) under Jatropha curcas. RNAcentral describes it as "long non-coding RNA (JCUR_LNC001618)". The record is from RNAcentral. Lineage: Eukaryota; Viridiplantae; Streptophyta; Magnoliopsida; Malpighiales; Euphorbiaceae.